Molecule: ribosomal RNA, 857 nt
Filed under: uncultured organism
Description: bacterial SSU rRNA
Rfam family: Bacterial small subunit ribosomal RNA
Source: RNAcentral
GUGGGAGCGGCAGACGGGUGAGUAAUACGUUGGAACCUGCCCCAAAGUCAGGGAUAACCAGUAGAAAUAUUGGCUAAUACCGGAUAGUCACGAAAGUGUAAAGCUUUUGCGCUUUGGGAGGGGCCUGCGGUCUAUCAGCUUGUUGGUAAGGUAAUGGCUUACCAAGGCUAUGACGGAUAGCUGGUUUGAGAGAAUGAUCAGCCACAAUGGAACUGAGACACGGUCCAUACUCCUACGGGAGGCAGCAGUGAGGAAUCUUCCGCAAUGGGCGAAAGCCUGACGGAGCAACACCGCGUGAAGGAUGAAGGUCGUAAGAUUGUAAACUUCUUUUCUGAGGGAAGAAUUCUGACGGUACCUCAGGAAUAAGCAUCGGCUAACUACGUGCCAGCAGCCGCGGUAAGACGUAGGAUGCGAGCGUUAUCCGGAUUUAUUGGGCGUAAAGCGCAUGCAGGUGGCUAGGUAAGUCGGGUGUGAAAGCCCCGGACUUAAUCCGGGGAGGUCAUUCGAUACUGCUUGGCUUGAGAGCGGGAGAGGGAAGUGGAAUUCUCGGUGUAGUGGUGAUAUGCGUAGAUAUCGAGAGGAACACCAGUGGCGAAGGCGGCUUCCUGGCCCGCAUCUGACACUAAGAUGCGAAAGCGUGGGUAGCAAACGGACUUAGAUACUCCGGUAGUCCACGCUGUAAACGAUGGGUACUAGGUGUAAGGGGGUGUUAAACUCUCUGUGCCAUAGUUAACGCACUAAGUACCCCGNCUGGGGACUACGGUCGCAAGGCUAAAACUCAAAGGAAUUGACGGGGGCCCGCACAAGCAGCGGAGCGUGUGGUUCAAUUCGAAGAUACCCGAAGAACUUUACCUGGG